CAAUAGCGUAUAUUAAAGUUGUUGCGGUUAAAAAGCUCGUAGUUGGAUUUCUGCUGAGGAUGACCGGUCCGCCCUGUGGGUGUGCAUCUGGCUCAGCCUUGGCAUCUUCCUGAAGAACGUAGCUGCACUUGACUGUGUGGUGCGGUAUUUAGGACAUUUACUUUGAGGAAAUUAGAGUGUUUCAAGCAAGCGCACGCUUUGAAUACAUUAGCAUGGAAUAAUAAGAUAGGACCUUGGUUCUAUUUUGUUGGUUUCUAGAGCUGAGGUAAUGAUUGAUAGGGAUAGUUGGGGGCAUUCGUAUUUAACUGUCGGAGGUGAAAUUCUUGGAUUUGUUAAAGACGGACUACUGCGAAAGCAUUUGCCAAGGAUGUUUUCAUUGA
This 380-nucleotide ribosomal RNA is filed under the name uncultured eukaryote. RNAcentral describes it as "partial 18S ribosomal RNA". It matches the Rfam family "Eukaryotic small subunit ribosomal RNA", at positions 592 to 976 of the family's 1831-position model. The record is from RNAcentral.